GCAGCUGAAACACAAACAUCUGCCGUUCACUUGUGUGAACCUCUGUGAUGGCAUCGUUGCAGGAUGUGCCCCGUGCCCACCAGAGGGAGUAUGAAAAACACGUGGAGAACAUUGACAGUUCAAAGAUAACUGCCCAGGAAUGAGAGAAGCCUUCAGAUGCUGCUAUCAACUACAGGUUCUACAGGGGCAUGAGAACAUACAUAGAGAACUUAGUAAACUGUUUCAAUGAAAAAGUACGUGUGUUUUCCUUCCCUUCGCUGCCACCCAUUUCUUUAAGAUGAGGAACCUGCAUUCUCACAAGGCAAAAGUGAGAUUUCUUAUUUGGAAUUGAUGAUGAGAGACGACCAGUUAUGAGUCAAUUCUAUCAGAAACUUGAGUGUCACAGGAAACAAAGGAGGAACAGACCACCCCUCACAGUAACCUAAAAUGAUUAAGCUGGGAAUGGCAAACCAAGUAAUGAUGGAGUGGAGAGUGAUGAAAAGAUGAAGCUUCUGAAAAU
Gallus gallus (chicken) is the source of this 499-nucleotide long non-coding RNA. RefSeq lists it as uncharacterized. The record is from RefSeq and is a predicted model, not a curated record. Lineage: Eukaryota; Metazoa; Chordata; Aves; Galliformes; Phasianidae. The transcript is spliced from 3 exons.